CUGCCUGCAGCAGUGUCUUGAAGUCGCUGUACGGCAGGUCGUUCACGCGCCCCGACGCCAGGAAAUCCUGCAGCGUUGCCACGGCCAGGAAGGCGAUGACGACGAACCAGAUCGAAAACUGGUGCCUUUUCUCCAUACCUCCACGCCUGCACGGGUUUCGUGUCAGUUUUUCCGAUCGGCGUUCGACGGUGCGCGAUCGGCGGCGAGUGUGUUCUCCUGGCCCUUGAUGGCCUGCUGGUCGCGGUACACGCUUUCUGCGUCUGCCGAUUCGGCCGCCAUUGUUCCGGC
Molecule: unclassified non-coding RNA, 288 nt
Filed under: uncultured bacterium
Lineage: Bacteria
Description: contains 16S-23S intergenic spacer region
Source: RNAcentral